Long non-coding RNA from Mustela lutreola (European mink), 1170 nucleotides. RefSeq lists it as uncharacterized. The transcript is spliced from 3 exons. NCBI's taxonomy places the organism in Eukaryota, Metazoa, Chordata, Mammalia, Carnivora, Mustelidae. The record is from RefSeq and is a predicted model, not a curated record.
UAUCAACCACCUGUUGAGUCUCAACGUGCCUGGACGGAAGGAACAGUCUUUGCUUGCUCAAAGCUGUAUAUAUUAGUGGUAUUUACAGAAGGGCAUGUGAUAGAAAAAGUAAAUAACUGAAUUUGUUCAUAGCUUCCUGUUUCCUUCUUGAUUCUUCAGGAGAGGAUGCCUUUUCCCUUUGGAAGUACAGAUUCUCCUUGGACAAAACUUAAUUAAAACUCCAGCUAGAUUAGUAAACUUUGGUUAAUGAAUUGGCCUCAGGAAGCCCCUACAUUUUCAUGGCCUCGUAGAGUUCAGUGAAAAUGUUUAUUAAGGGACACAGCCUGUCCUGCUCUGACCCCAAGACACUGAAGACUCUGUUUGAAUCAGACUCAAGGGCUUCUUCCUCCUCACCACUCUCAAGGACAGGAAUGCUUCUGGUGAAGACGUUUGUGGUGGCUCAUGGAGCUUCCAUUCACCAGGCUGGAAAUGGCAUUCAUUUUACUGGCUUUUGUUAUCUUUUCCUUAUUUACUCUGGCUUCCAUCUAUACUAACCCAGAGGAGAGGAAUGAAGAGGAAGAAUACCAAAUAAAGGAAGAGAAAAAGAAAAGAAAAGCCUCCAAAAAGAAGAAAAACUCCCCAAAGGAAGAACACAAAACUGAAGCUAUUUAGGUUCACGGAGGCCACCUAUGACAUCACAGUCACAGAAACUUUCCACUGAGGACAUGGAGGAAGUGGCCAAAGGAGCUACUGACCCACAGUUAAUAAGAGGAAGAGAUGAUCAAUAAAGCUAAAAAAUGCAAUUACCAAUCAGGCAAGAUGGUAACAACCCUUAGCAAAGGAAAUCCUGGGGAGAAGGCUUCCUAACAUUUUUGUGACGCAGCUUUAUUUAAAAAUAUUUAUUGUGCCAAUGAAGAGCGAUAUGCCAUGCGAGGUGCAACUGUUUAUACAAAAGAAUACGGCCAAAGUGGUAAUAAUAGUAAGAUAGUACAAAGAGCAAGAAGAGCCCAAAUCACGCGUGUUAAUAAUUUGCUAAGAGAAAAAAUAAGCUCAUUUUAAUCACUUGUUUAAACUUGAGAUUCAUAUGGUAACAUGUAAGAGACUUAAUUGUCCUAAUACAUGAUGUGCAAACUACAAUCAACUGUGUAACUACUUCUUUUCUGAAAUAAACAUGAAAUAGAAAGAACUACA